UAAACGACUCUCGGCAACGGAUAUCUCGGCUCACGCAUCGAUGAAGAACGUAGCAAAAUGCGAUACUUGGUGUGAAUUGCAGAAUCCCGUGAACCAUCGAGUUUUUGAACGCAAGUUGCGCCCGAAGCCUUUUGGUUGAGGGCACGUCUGCCUGGGCGUCACGC
Molecule: ribosomal RNA, 164 nt
Filed under: Blepharipappus scaber
Lineage: Eukaryota; Viridiplantae; Streptophyta; Magnoliopsida; Asterales; Asteraceae
Also listed under: 8 other names
Description: 5.8S ribosomal RNA
Rfam family: 5.8S ribosomal RNA
About the family: 5.8S ribosomal RNA (5.8S rRNA) is a component of the large subunit of the eukaryotic ribosome.
Source: RNAcentral